RNAcentral lists this ribosomal RNA (496 nucleotides) under uncultured bacterium. RNAcentral's name for it is "bacterial SSU rRNA". It matches the Rfam family "Bacterial small subunit ribosomal RNA", at positions 29 to 518 of the family's 1533-position model. The record is from RNAcentral.
AUGAACGCUAGCGACAGGCCUAACACAUGCAAGUCGAGGGGCAGCACAAGGAGCAAUCUGAGGUGGCGACCGGCGCACGGGUGAGUAACACGUAUGCAACCUGCCUGUAAGCGGGGAAUAACCCGUUGAAAGACGGACUAAUACCGCAUAAUACUAAAUUACUGCAUGGUAAUUUAUUUAAACAUUUAUGGCUUACAGAUGGGCAUGCGCAUGAUUAGCUAGUUGGAGAGGUAACGGCUCCCCAAGGCAACGAUCAUUAGGGGUUCUGAGAGGAAGGUCCCCCACACUGGUACUGAGGCACGGACCAGACUCCUACGGGAGGCAGCAGUGAGGAAUAUUGGUCAAUGGACGAGAGUCUGAACCAGCCAAGUCGCGUGCAGGAAGAAUGUCCUUAAUGGAUUGUAAACUGCUUUUGCAGGGGAAUAAAGUGCAUCACGUGUGAUGUUUUGUAUGUACUCUGCGAAUAAGGAUCGGCUAACUCCGUGCCAGCAGCGGC